UCAAGACUCACUGGACAGGGCCAGGA
RNAcentral lists this non-coding RNA (26 nucleotides) under Mus musculus (house mouse). The record is from RNAcentral. Lineage: Eukaryota; Metazoa; Chordata; Mammalia; Rodentia; Muridae.